RNAcentral lists this ribozyme (111 nucleotides) under Aedes aegypti (yellow fever mosquito). RNAcentral describes it as "drz-agam-1 ribozyme". It matches the Rfam family "drz-agam-1 ribozyme". The record is from Rfam by way of RNAcentral. Lineage: Eukaryota; Metazoa; Arthropoda; Insecta; Diptera; Culicidae.
UGUCCAGUAACUCCUAUUCCUACCUCCCGUGGUGCCGCCUGGGAUAUGAGUAACCAUAGGGAUCGGGUGACCAAUACCGGUGGGUCUUCGGUCGUAUGCUGACAGGGAAGG